UCAUAUGACUUUGGGCUUGUUAGUCUUCAAUUUUACCCGGCUGGAUUCACAUCAGCCUCUCAGCGUGCAACCUCUCAACGACGGUGUUUCGAACGGGACGGGGUUGAAGAAACAAAGGAACAGAGCCCGAAGCUUUGCGGAAGAAGCAGUGAAACAAUCCCAGGAUAACAAAGCUUCCAAGCAUUUGCCCCAACAUUAUUUCAGAAACGACGUCGAUCUCAACACUUUUGGCAUCACCGAAGAGUUGAGGGAAUUCAUCAGAAGGAUCACCAUCGACACCUUUGAAUAUUUCCCCCUUUAAGAUAGAAGAAGUUGAAGAAUCUGUCUAGGUUUGCCUUGUAGUUUUUGCUUCUUUCAUCAAACUGGUCUACUCCAAAAGAUGACACGCAUGGCCUUAUCCCUGCUGCUCCGAACAUUGUGAUGUAUAGAACCGUGUAGAGAAAAAAAAAUCUAUGAAUCCUUAUUCCAACCAGAAGUGGA
Cajanus cajan (pigeon pea) is the source of this 480-nucleotide long non-coding RNA. RefSeq lists it as uncharacterized. The record is from RefSeq and is a predicted model, not a curated record. NCBI's taxonomy places the organism in Eukaryota, Viridiplantae, Streptophyta, Magnoliopsida, Fabales, Fabaceae.